Long non-coding RNA from Vicia villosa (hairy vetch), 821 nucleotides. RefSeq lists it as uncharacterized. The record is from RefSeq and is a predicted model, not a curated record. NCBI's taxonomy places the organism in Eukaryota, Viridiplantae, Streptophyta, Magnoliopsida, Fabales, Fabaceae. The transcript is spliced from 4 exons.
AAAGAAAAAAAGAAAAAAGGAAAAAGAGAAGAGGGGAAAAAUUCUAGGGUUCGCGCAUUGUGACAAAUCGAUCUCUUCAGACUCUCUCCUUCGCCCCCUUCUCUUCUCACAUACCAUGGUGGCCGGAGAAAUCAAGCCCGACGGCGCAACCAUCGUGAGUCUGAAUGGAAGUGAAGGGGAGUGAAGAAUGGAGUGGAGAUGGAAGAGAUUGAGGAGUAUGCGGUGGUGAAGAACUUCUGAGAUGGGAGAAUGAGAGUGAAGAGCUGAGAAUCGAAGAAUGGUGGAGAGUCAGAAGUGAAGAAGAAGAAUCGAAGAAUCUGACUGAGGAUUAUAUAGAAGUUAAAGGGACUGAUUUAUGUAUUGGUGUAGGAGGUUUGAACUGUUAAUGCAAAGCCUAACUAAGAAAUGGGCUUGUACAUGUUUUCUGUGGCAGGUUGGGUACAAGUUUGCUUGUGGUAUCAAGGUUUGGAGUUAAUGAUAUAUGUGUUCGUAUGGUAUUGGAAGCGAAGAAUACGUGUGGUACCUUGAAGAUUAAAAAUGCUUGAAGAGUUUGAAGAGAUGGAAAGUAGUUGGUGAAUGAAGAUUAAUGGAAUUUGGCCUUUGUAGCAUAAGUUUAAGUUUUUUUUCUUUGUAAUGAAACUGUUGGAUAUUGUCCCUUAAAUGUUAAGAAUUUACUUGGUCUUUAUAUAAAUAACUCUCCUUUUGUACAAAGGUCUUCUAAUUUCGAAUGAAGCUUAUAAUGUCCCCUUUCAAUUAUACUUGGUCUUUGUACCUUGAGCUUUGUAAUGAGUACUCCUUGAAAUUGUAGUAACAUUUGAAUU